UCUUCAGUAGUAUAGUGGUUAGCAUUUAUGUCUGUCAAGCUUGUGUGAGACCUGGAUUCAAUUCCUGGCUGGAGAG
RNAcentral lists this transfer RNA (76 nucleotides) under Sphaerobolus stellatus SS14. RNAcentral's name for it is "tRNA-Asp (GTC) (tRNA-Asp-GTC-30-1)". It matches the Rfam family "tRNA". From Rfam's summary of the family: Transfer RNA (tRNA) molecules are approximately 80 nucleotides in length. Their secondary structure includes four short double-helical elements and three loops (D, anti-codon, and T loops). Further hydrogen bonds mediate the characteristic L-shaped molecular structure. tRNAs have two regions of fundamental functional importance: the anti-codon, which is responsible for specific mRNA codon recognition, and the 3' end, to which the tRNAs corresponding amino acid is attached (by aminoacyl-tRNA synthetases). tRNAs cope with the degeneracy of the genetic code in two manners: having more than one tRNA (with a specific anti-codon) for a particular amino acid; and 'wobble' base-pairing, i.e. permitting non-standard base-pairing at the 3rd anti-codon position. The record is from RNAcentral. Lineage: Eukaryota; Fungi; Basidiomycota; Agaricomycetes; Geastrales; Sphaerobolaceae.